AGUGAACGCUGGCGGUAGGCCUAACACAUGCAAGUCGAACGGCAGCACAGUAAGAGCUUGCUCUUACGGGUGGCGAGUGGCGGACGGGUGAGGAAUACAUCGGAAUCUACUUUUUCGUGGGGGAUAACGUAGGGAAACUUACGCUAAUACCGCAUACGACCUACGGGUGAAAGCAGGGGAUCUUCGGACCUUGCGCGAUUGAAUGAGCCGAUGUCGGAUUAGCUAGUUGGCGGGGUAAAGGCCCACCAAGGCGACGAUCCGUAGCUGGUCUGAGAGGAUGAUCAGCCACACUGGAACUGAAACACGGUCCAGACUCCUACGGGAGGCAGCAGUGGGGAAUAUUGGACAAUGGGCGCAAGCCUGAUCCAGCCAUACCGCGUGGGUGAAGAGGGCCUUCGGGUUGUAAAGCCCUUUUGUUGGGAAAGAAAAGCAGCAGGUUAAUACCCCGCUGUUCUGACGGUACCCAAAGAAUAAGCACCGGCUAACUUCGUG
RNAcentral lists this ribosomal RNA (492 nucleotides) under uncultured bacterium. RNAcentral describes it as "partial 16S ribosomal RNA". It matches the Rfam family "Bacterial small subunit ribosomal RNA", at positions 29 to 507 of the family's 1533-position model. The record is from RNAcentral.